Molecule: transfer RNA, 54 nt
Filed under: Vibrio breoganii ZF-29
Lineage: Bacteria; Pseudomonadati; Pseudomonadota; Gammaproteobacteria; Vibrionales; Vibrionaceae
Description: tRNA-Ser
Source: RNAcentral
AGCCCUGGAUUGUGAUUCCGGUGGUCGCGAGUUCGAAUCUCGUUAGCCACCCCA